UACGUAGGGUGCGAGCGUUGUCCGGAAUUAUUGGGCGUAAAGGGCUCGUAGGCGGUUUGUCGCGUCGGGAGUGAAAACCAGGUGCUUAACACCUGGCUUGCUUUCGAUACGGGCAGACUAGAGGUAUUCAGGGGAGAACGGAAUUCCUGGUGUAGCGGUGAAAUGCGCAGAUAUCAGGAGGAACACCGGUGGCGAAGGCGGUUCUCUGGGAAUGACCUGACGCCGAGGAGCAAAAGUGUGGGGAGCGAACAGG
RNAcentral lists this ribosomal RNA (253 nucleotides) under uncultured bacterium. RNAcentral describes it as "partial 16S ribosomal RNA". It matches the Rfam family "Bacterial small subunit ribosomal RNA", at positions 524 to 776 of the family's 1533-position model. The record is from RNAcentral.